UACGUAGGCAGCGAGCGUUGUUCGGAAUUAUUGGGCGUAAAGGGCUCGUAGGCGGUUUGUCGCGUCGGGAGUGAAAACCCAGGGCUUAACUCUGGGCUUGCUUUCGAUACGGGCAGACUAGAGGCAUGCAGGGGAGAACGGAAUUCCUGGUGUAGCGGUGAAAUGCGCAGAUAUCAGGAGGAACACCGGUGGCGAAGGCGGUUCUCUGGGCAUGUCCUGACGCUGAGGAGCGAAAGCGUGGGGAGCGAACAGG
This 253-nucleotide ribosomal RNA is filed under the name uncultured bacterium. Its description in RNAcentral is "partial 16S ribosomal RNA". It matches the Rfam family "Bacterial small subunit ribosomal RNA", at positions 524 to 776 of the family's 1533-position model. The record is from RNAcentral.